Molecule: long non-coding RNA, 2834 nt
Organism: Gopherus flavomarginatus (Mexican gopher tortoise)
Lineage: Eukaryota; Metazoa; Chordata; Testudines; Testudinidae
Exons: 5
Source: RefSeq, a predicted model, not a curated record
GGCUCCAGCGCGUACUGGCCCGGAACCGGCACAGCACCAGACUGGACACACUCCGUGCCAAAGCCGGCACAGUCCCACCCUCUCCUGACGGCCGCGGAAGUGAUCAUGCCUGUCGGAUCUGCUACUCCCAGGCCAGAGGUUCUCCCGAUCCCAUCAGCGGCUCACACCUGAUGUGCUGGGACAUUCCCCGCAGGAGGCCCAUAGAGACCUGCAUAUCAGGACCUCCCAACACCCCUGCAACAUUCCCCAUGGCAUCAGGUGUUGCUGAACUACCCUUACACCUCCACUUCUGGGACAUUAAAGACAGUCCCAGCUUCCCAUGUCUUUCACAGCAAGCUAGGCUCCAGAGAAUCAUCAGGUUCCCUGUGGCUCCUCCUGUGGCUCUGCAAAUACUGGAGGAUCAGGUGGCCCGUGCACGCAACACUCAUCACAAUAGUGCAGAGCUGUGCAAGAUCCAUGCUUCUGUCACAGAUGGCAGACAGUGAGGAGGGACGUUCAGGUUUGUGCAGUUACAGGACCUCUCAUUUGCACUGAGAGAGUGAGAAGAGAGAUUUGCUUAAUUGUCCCUCCCACAAAGCCACCAAGACAACUCUCCUAAAAGGGGAGUAUGGCUGGAAGUAGUGCACACCAGCCCCCUCUAGUUGCAGCGUGAUUUAUGGCUCUACAGCAACCCCUCUGAUUGAUUCAGGAGCAGCAUCUGUGACAAGGUCAACUCCCAGACUGCUGUACUGGGCAGCACAGUAUAGGGAGAUGGUGAGCAGCCCUCAGUGGUGAAAGAACAGGUUAAGGACUAAUUAGAAAAGCUGGACAUGCUCAGGUCUAUGGGGCUCGAUGCAAUGCAUUGGAGGGUGCUGAGAGAGUUGGCCGAUGUGAUUGCAGAGCCAUGGGCCAUGAUAUUUGAACACUUGUGGCAAUCGGGGGAGGUCCCGGGCAAUUGGAAAAAGGCAAAUAUAGUACCCAACUUUAAAAAAGGGAAGAAGGAGAAUCCAGGGAACUACAGAUCAGUCAGCCUCACCUCUGUCCCCAGAAAAAUCAUGGAGCAGGUCCUCAAGGAAUCCAUUUUGAAGCACUUGGAGAAGAGGAAGGUGAUCAGGACAGUUAACAUGGAUUCAUCAAGGGCAAGUCAUGCCUGACCAACCUGAUUGCCUUCUAUGAGGAGGUAACUGGCUCUGUGGAUAUGGGGAAAGCGGUGCGCAUGAUAUACCUUGACCUUAGCAAUGCUUUUGAUACUAUCUCCCACAGUAUUCUUGCCAGCAAGUUAAAGAAGUAUGGAUUGGAUGAAUGGACUAUUAGGUGGUAUAGCGGGGCGACCACCUGCUCCACCUUGAAAAGGCUUAAAACAGCCCAGGAGGAGGGUUGUGGCUGGGAGCUACUAAGCUGGGCUGAUUGGGAAGUGGCUGCAGCUGGGCUACGCCCCAGUCAGGCCACAGCUGGCCAGUAUAAAGAGGCUGGAAGCCUCUUGUAGAGGGAGAAGGGCCUGGCUGCAGGCAGCUAGACACAUGGUACCUGAGUGAAGCAGGGCUGGGAGAAAGGCUGGGGAGCUCCAGCCUGGAAAGACCCAGGCUGCAGCCUAGCAUUGGGCUAAAAUGUACUGGGGGUUGCAGAGGGCAGCCCAGGGGUAGGCCAAGGCAGCAGGUCCAAACCCAACCUUGCCAGUGAUGGGUUGGCUGAUACUGCAGUCUGCCCCAGGGCGCAGGGGGCUAGAUGAUGACUGGCAGUAGCCAUAUACUGAGGUAAGGUGGAGAUAGUGGGUGUGGGUUCCCUGGGGAGGAAGGAUGGUGUUCCCAGUGGUGCAGAUGACAGAACAAGGAAUAAGGGUCUCAAGUUACAGUGGGGCAGGUCUAGGUUGGAUAUUAGGAAACACUAUUUCACUAGGAGGGUGGUGAAGCACUGGAAUGGGUUACCUAGGGAGGUGGUGGAAUCUCCUUCCUUAGAGGUUUUUACAGUCAGGCUUGACAAAGCCCUGGCUGGGAUGAUUUAGUUGGGAAUUGGUCCUGCUUUGAGUAGGGGAUUGUACUGGAUUACCUCCUAAGUCCCUUCCAACCCUGAUAUUCUAUGAUUCUUUGGGGCACUCCUAGAUAAUUAAUAUGUAUGGAUAUGGUGUAUAUAUUUGCAUGUUACAUAUGGGUAUAUAUGCAUACUAUCUAUGUGUACAUAUGACAGCACUUUAUGUCCAAGCUUAACAAUCCUUUUCCAGUCUGGGUACUGUAGUUUGGCCCUCGUGGUACUGCAGAUAGCAACACAUUGCUGUUAGGGCAAUUACAGUUACAACCUGUAUUAUUACUGGUAGUAGGCUGAGUGUUCUGAAAUACUGGGAUAGACAUUACUAAAGUGUGUCCCACCGUGCUAUGUAUAUGAGAAGUAAAACAGAAAUUUGCUUUUGUUGCAACAAAAUUAAAAUAAUGAUGUCACACAACAUACAAUACAGGUGACAUACAGGACAAACUUACAAUUAAGAACAAAUGGUGCUAGAAUUCUAUUUAUAACUAUAUAAAACAAGGCAAUAACUAAAAUAAAAAAGGGUUAAAUAUUUUAAAAAGCAAGUUAUUACCUUUUAUUUAAAACUUUUUAAAAUAAAAAUUGAUAAAAAUCCAUAUGAACAUUUUCCAAAUUUGUUGUAUCAAUGUAGUAACUUAAGGCAUUUUCCAUUACUUUAUAUUAAACUUUAUUUUAAAACUCUGCUAUAUGGAAAUAAGAAAAGCCCAUGUUUCAAAUAUUACUCAGUGGUUAGGAUUAGAAGCAGAGUCUGCAUUUCUGUUGCUUGGCAACCAUAUCUUCAAGAAAAUUAGGCAUAAUUUCAGCUGUUGCAUUUCUGAAGGGUUAAAAUAAUUAAU